Molecule: ribosomal RNA, 347 nt
Filed under: Bdellovibrio sp.
Lineage: Bacteria; Pseudomonadati; Bdellovibrionota; Bdellovibrionia; Bdellovibrionales; Pseudobdellovibrionaceae
Description: bacterial SSU rRNA
Rfam family: Bacterial small subunit ribosomal RNA
Source: RNAcentral
AGGAAUCAUGGACUUACGACCAGGGCUACACACGUGCUACAAUGGCAUAUACAAAGAGAAGCGACCUCGCGAGAGCAAGCGGACCUCAUAAAGUAUGUCGUAGUCCGGAUUGGAGUCUGCAACUCGACUCCAUGAAGUCGGAAUCGCUAGUAAUCGUAGAUCAGAAUGCUACGGUGAAUACGUUCCCGGGCCUUGUACACACCGCCCGUCACACCAUGGGAGUGGGUUGCAAAAGAAGUAGGUAGCUUAACCUUCGGGAGGGCGCUUACCACUUUGUGAUUCAUGACUGGGGUGAAGUCGUAACAAGGUAACCGUAGGGGAACCUGCGGUUGAUCCACCUCCUCAAA